Pezoporus flaviventris is the source of this 1011-nucleotide long non-coding RNA. RefSeq lists it as uncharacterized. The record is from RefSeq and is a predicted model, not a curated record. NCBI's taxonomy places the organism in Eukaryota, Metazoa, Chordata, Aves, Psittaciformes, Psittacidae. The transcript has 3 exons.
UGGAAAUAAGAGGUGUAUUUAUCAAGAUAUAAAAUGGCUCAGACUGUUUUUGACUGGUUACCUGGGGUAGCCAUUUUUACAAUACAUUUGUAUUGAGAUUCAGGCAUUUUUACACUAAACUGAUUCUUCUUAAUGUAGGAAACAUGCUUGGAAUGGAGGAUUUGCUGACUGAAAACUGGAGUAAUUUAUGGCAACUGUCAAAGUUGCAGGGAGAAAUUGCAAUUACACCUGAUUAUCCUCAGCAUUCAAAGAUAAUCUGUCAUAUGCCCUUCCAACAUCCUUCAGACACAAAGCAUAAAAUACUUUGUAACAGUGAUGAGAUGAACACUUCAAAACGGGUGCUUAAAGUACCCAGAUAAAAGAGUAAUGGCCACUAAUAUUCAGAAACAGAACAGGGAAUGGGCUGGGUUUUGGGGUAAGAGAACCCCUUUCAGAGCACUGCAGCAGCUACUAAAGAGAAAAAUACUGUUACAGCUGAACCCAUGACAAGACAAAAUAAAAAAAAUGGAAAUCCUGAGGUCACUUCCACACCAGAACCAUUAAAUCUCACAGAAAUCUAUCAGAAGCUAAUUUUUGAGACCAGUUACUGGACAUGCUACUUAAGAACAUACUGAAUUUCACUACAAUUUAAAAUGUGAGGUAAAACAUUACAUUUACACCUGUUUACCCUGGAUGGAAGCAUACCCUACGACUGGAUUUGAGUAUUUCAUAGUGUUAGAUAUUAAUGACUACUAAUACUCAGCUAGAAACACUGGAGUAUGAGGCCUUUAGUGCAGCAUGUUCCCAGUUUUACAUCUAAAAAUGUACAGUAAUAGUAAGUAUUUUUCAUUAGUAGAAAAAACCCUAUUUCCUCAUUACGCAGAGGAAGGCAGUAGAAAAGACCAGGCUUUGAUUUAUCAUUACACUGAAAGCAAAUACAAGGGAGAUGUGCAAGAAGAGAGGAAUAUUAUGCAACAUGUACUUAGGUAACUGGUGUCAAAAUCCCAUUAUGUGAAUGCUGUAGUGUGCAUA